AAUUGACUUAUAGUGUCGAAAUGUUCGCUGGAAUGACGUUGUUAAGAUUCAACAUUCCAAUCUACCAACAAUGGAGCAACUCUAUGUUUUCUAGCUACUAUAGGAUGCAAUUCUCGCACAGGUUGAGCAGCCAUUUAAUUACUGUAACACCCCGCUCAUCUUUGUGCUUAAUUGAUUUGGAAAAUCCUAUUUAUUAGGGCCUUUGGCUGCAUUGAACUUAUUUAAUUUUCUUUGCAUAAUAUUUAUCAUAAUUUGUAAAAAUUUAGUUAAUUUUUAAUUAUUUUGUUUUUAUUUAAUUUUAAUUUUAUUUAACUUAUUUAAAUUAAUUUUAAAAAAUUGAGAGAAACAAGAAAAAUGGCAAAACGAGAAGAAAUCUCGCGGGAAGUAGAGCAGCUUGCGUGGAUGUUGGGCACUGUGCGUACGUGCGCGUGCACACAGCAGCCACAGGACAUGCGCAGAGCGCGCAUCUCCCGUCCACACACGUAGGAGGUCGCACAACGCGCACAUCCCCUCUGCGCGCAUGGUGAUGGGACAGGUCCUGCGCGUGUCUUGUCGCACGCAGGCUGGCCAUUCGUGCGACACCUUGCGUGCAGACAGACCUCGUACACUAUGCACGUGUCGUCCGCGUAACAGGGCUGCGCAGAUAGGCCUUGAGCACCAGUAGGCUGCACACGAGUAGGCUAGCUCCUACGCGCGUGCCGGCAAGGGCACUGUCACCUCGGACUAUGAGCUAUUGUCGCCUCGAGCAGUGCACCGUCGCCACCUAUGGAGGAGACCUAG
RNAcentral lists this long non-coding RNA (780 nucleotides) under Carica papaya (papaya). Its description in RNAcentral is "long non-coding RNA (CPAP_LNC001740)". Lineage: Eukaryota; Viridiplantae; Streptophyta; Magnoliopsida; Brassicales; Caricaceae. The record is from RNAcentral.